AGGACGAACGCUGGCGGCGUGCUUAACACAUGCAAGUCACGGGGGCUCGCAAGGGCAACCGGCGAACGGGUGCGUAACACGUGAGCAACCUGCCGAUCUGAGGGGGAUAGCCGGCCCAAUGGCCGGGUAAUACCGCAUACGUUCUUUUGGCCUCCUGGCUGAGAGAAGAAACCUCCGGGGCAGAUCGAGGGGCUCGCGGCCUAUCAGCUAGUUGGCGGUGUAAUGGACCACCAAGGCGACGACGGGUAGCUGGU
Molecule: ribosomal RNA, 254 nt
Filed under: uncultured bacterium
Lineage: Bacteria
Description: partial small subunit ribosomal RNA
Rfam family: Bacterial small subunit ribosomal RNA
Source: RNAcentral